GACGAACGCUGGCGGCGUGCUUAACACAUGCAAGUCGAACGGAAAGGCCCUGCUUUUUUGUGGUUCUCGAGUGGCGAACGUGUGUGUAACCCGUGAGUCACCUUCCCUUUACUUUGGGAUAACUUCAGGCAGCUGGGGCUAAUACCUGCUAGGUGCUCCUGCUGCAUGGUGGGGUUUGGACCGUUUCGUCGGUUGGGGAUGGACUUAGGGCGUAUUAGCUUGUUGGUGGGGUAAUGGCCUACCAAGGCGUUGAUGGGUAGCCGGCCUGAGAGGAUGAUCGGUCACACUGGAACUGAGACACGGUCAAGACUACUAAGGGAGGCAGCAGUGGGGAAUAGUGGACAGUGGGCGAAAGCAUGAUACAGCGAGGCCGAGUGUGUGAAGAAGGUCUUGGGAGUGGAAAGAACGUUAAGGGGGGAGGAAGGGCAGUAAGUUAAUACCUUGCUGGAGUGACGGUAAUAAGAGAAGAAGCACCGGCUAACUUCGUG
This 488-nucleotide ribosomal RNA is filed under the name uncultured bacterium. RNAcentral's name for it is "partial 16S ribosomal RNA". It matches the Rfam family "Bacterial small subunit ribosomal RNA", at positions 28 to 507 of the family's 1533-position model. The record is from RNAcentral.